UGUCGUGACUAUAGCGAAGGGGUCACACCUGUUCCCAUACCGAACACAGCAGUUAAGCCCUUCAGCGCCGAUGGUACUUGGUGAGAGAUCGCCUGGGAGAGUAGGUCGUUGCGAUAC
Molecule: ribosomal RNA, 117 nt
Filed under: Serpentinicella sp. ANB-PHB4
Lineage: Bacteria; Bacillati; Bacillota; Clostridia; Peptostreptococcales; Natronincolaceae
Source: RNAcentral